Molecule: ribosomal RNA, 486 nt
Filed under: uncultured bacterium
Lineage: Bacteria
Description: SSU rRNA
Rfam family: Bacterial small subunit ribosomal RNA
Source: RNAcentral
AGGACGAACGCUGGCGGCGUGCUUAACACAUGCAAGUCGAGCGGUAAGGCUCCUUCGGGAGUACACGAGCGGCGAACGGGUGAGUAACACGUGAGCAAUCUGCCCUUCACUCUGGGAUAACCCUCGGAAACGAGAGCUAAUACCGGAUACGACCACUUCAGGCAUCUGAUGGUGGUGGAAAGUUCUGGCGGUGAAGGAUGAGCUCGCGGCCUAUCAGCUUGUUGGUGAGGUAAUGGCUCACCAAGGCUUCGACGGGUAGCCGGCCUGAGAGGGUGACCGGGCCACGACUGGGACUGAGACACGGCCCAGACUCCUACGGGAGGCAGCAGUGGGGAAUAUUGGACAAUGGGCGAAAGCCUGAUCCAGCAACGCCGCGUGAGGGAUGACGGCCUUCGGGUUGUAAACCGUCUUUCAGCAGGGACGAAGCGCAAGUGACGGUACCUGCAGAAGAAGCACCGGCCAACUACGUGCCAGCAGCCGCGGUAA